UGAUGUGAAAAGCCCCCGGCUCAACCGGGGAGGGUCAUUGGAAACUGGGGAACUUGAGUGCAGAAGAGGAGAGUGGAAUUCCACGUGUAGCGGUGAAAUGCGUAGAGAUGUGGAGGAACACCAGUGGCGAAGGCGACUCUCUGGUCUGUAACUGACGCUGAGGAGCGAAAGCGUGGGGAGCGAACAGGAUUAGAUACCCUGGUAGUCCACGCCGUAAACGAUGAGUGCUAAGUGUUAGGGGGUUUCCGCCCCUUAGUGCUGCAGCUAACGCAUUAAGCACUCCGCCUGGGGAGUACGGUCGCAAGACUGAAACUCAAAGGAAUUGACGGGGGCCCGCACAAGCGGUGGAGCAUGUGGUUUAAUUCGAAGCAACGCGAAGAACCUUACCAGGUCUUGACAUCCUCUGACAAUCCUAGAGAUAGGACGUCCCCUUCGGGGGCAGAGUGACAGGUGGUGCAUGGUUGUCGUCAGCUCGUGUCGUGAGAUGUUGGGUUAAGUCCCGCAACGAGCGCAACCCUUGAUCUUAGUUGCCAGCAUUCAGUUGGGCACUC
RNAcentral lists this ribosomal RNA (551 nucleotides) under Bacillus sp. MKR7. RNAcentral's name for it is "bacterial SSU rRNA". It matches the Rfam family "Bacterial small subunit ribosomal RNA", at positions 590 to 1140 of the family's 1533-position model. Lineage: Bacteria; Bacillati; Bacillota; Bacilli; Caryophanales; Bacillaceae. The record is from RNAcentral.